ACGAACGCUGGCGGCGUGCUUAACACCUGCAAGUCGCACGGAAAGGCCCUGCUUUUGUGGGGUGCUCGCGUGGCGAACGGGUGAGUAACACGUGAGUAACCUGCCCUUGACUUUGGGAUAACUUCAGGAAACUGGGGCUAAUACCGGAUAGGAGCUCCUGCUGCAUGGUGGGGGUUGGAAAGUUUCGGCGGUUGGGGAUGGACUCGCGGCUUAUCAGCUUGUUGGUGGGGUAGUGGCUUACCAAGGCUUUGACGGGUAGCCGGCCUGAGAGGGUGACCGGCCACAUUGGGUCUGAGAUACGGCCCAGACUCCUACGGGAGGCAGCAGUGGGGAAUAUUGCACAAUGGGCGGAAGCCUGAUGCAGCAACGCCGCGUGCGGGAUGACGGCCUUCGGGUUGUAAACCGCUUUCGCCUGUGACGAAGCGUGAGUGACGGUAAUGGGUAAAGAAGCACCGGCUAACUACGUG
RNAcentral lists this ribosomal RNA (467 nucleotides) under uncultured bacterium. Its description in RNAcentral is "partial 16S ribosomal RNA". It matches the Rfam family "Bacterial small subunit ribosomal RNA", at positions 29 to 507 of the family's 1533-position model. The record is from RNAcentral.